ACAAUGAAGAGUUUGAUCCUGGCUCAGGAUGAACGCUAGCGGCAGGCUUAACACAUGCAAGUCGAGGGGCAG
RNAcentral lists this ribosomal RNA (72 nucleotides) under Bacteroidales bacterium. RNAcentral describes it as "partial 16S ribosomal RNA". It matches the Rfam family "Bacterial small subunit ribosomal RNA", at positions 1 to 72 of the family's 1533-position model. Lineage: Bacteria; Pseudomonadati; Bacteroidota; Bacteroidia; Bacteroidales. The record is from RNAcentral.